CUGAGCUCUAGAGCGCUGGGGCUUUCUUUUUGAUCGACUUCUUGAAAUAAAACCAACUUUAUCAUUCUUUGGGUAACAGACCCAAAAGCCGAUGGGACGGCCCGCUGGGCUGUUCCCGCCCCUAUGCCCUUUUUUGGGUUUCCGGCCAGAGGCAUGCUGGGAGCGUCACAUGCAAAUUGAGCGUGCACCCAGCGUUCCGCCCUUUCUACGCUGGGCCGGUUAUCGACCCGGCCCAGUGCGCAGGCGCGGGAAAGUUGAACUAAUAAAGUUUGUACGAGUUCAGUGGAGGAGACCGCAAGUUGAGUGGAGGAGGCGGCGGUGGGGCCCCGGACCAGGUCAGCGGGGUGUUGACGAGGGGUGGGGUGAGGAGGGAAGAGGAGGGGGCCGGGAUCCAGUGGUGGGCACCCCAGUCCCGCUUCUCUGAUAUCCAAGGGUCCAGGGUCCUCUAGAUUCCAGCAGGGGUCGGAGAUUUGGAACUACACCUCACAGCAGGCUGCGCGGCGAAGAAGCGCGGACCUAGGGGAAGAUUUGCCCUGAAACCUCUUGGGAUUGGUAGUUCCCGAUGCUUUAAGGGUUUCAGGAGUUUGGCAUAUGCCUCUUAUAGAAUCCAGGAGUUGGGGCGCUAAGCCUCUUCUUCCUGGGAGACCUAAGGGUCUGGGGCUCCAGUUCCUUUUUCUCUAAGACUCAGAAGUCCAGGACCCCAGCUCCCUCCUCCUUUAGACCCACGAAUCUGGGCACCCAGCCCCACCACCUUUCCUUGGAUCGAAGAGUCUUUUUCCUGAUCGCUUUUUCGUCUGAGGACUCAAGAGUCUAGGCCCCCAGACCCACACUCUCCAAAGGACCCAGGAGUCCAGGCCCUCAGCACCUUCCUUGGGACUCACAAGUCCUGGUCCCCAAGCCUCCACUUCUUGCUAAACCCUUGGAGUCCAGUCCCUAACCCUCUCUCUCACAGGUGCCUCCAUGGCAGGCUCUGAAGAGCUGGGGCUCCGGGAAGACACGCUGAGGGUCCUAGCUGCCUUCCUUAGGCGUGGUGAGGCUGCCGGGUCUCCUGUUCCAACUCCACCUAGAAGCCCUGCCCAAGAAGAGCCAACAGACUUCCUGAGCCGCCUUCGAAGAUGUCUUCCCUGCUCCCUGGGGCGAGGAGCAGCCCCCUCUGAGUCCCCUCGGCCUUGCUCUCUGCCCAUCCGCCCCUGCUAUGGUUUAGAGCCUGGCCCAGCUACUCCAGACUUCUAUGCUUUGGUGGCCCAGCGGCUGGAACAGCUGGUCCAAGAGCAGCUGAAAUCUCCGCCCAGCCCAGAAUUACAGGGUCCCCCAUCGACAGAGAAGGAAGCCAUACUGCGGAGGCUGGUGGCCCUGCUGGAGGAGGAGGCAGAAGUCAUUAACCAGAAG
Molecule: non-coding RNA, 1389 nt
Filed under: Homo sapiens (human)
Lineage: Eukaryota; Metazoa; Chordata; Mammalia; Primates; Hominidae
Source: RNAcentral